AACGCACCUUGCGCUCCUUGGUAUUCCGAGGAGCAUGCCUGUUUGAGUGUCAUUAAUAUAUCAACCCUUCACUUGUUGAGCGGUUUGGAUGUGGGGGUUUGCCUGGCCUCUUAAAAGGUUUUGGCUCCCCUGAAAUGCAUUAGCAGAACAACCCUGUUCAUUGGUGUGAUAAACUAUCUACGCUAUUGAAUGUGAAGGGCAGUUUGGCUUUCUAACAGUCCUCGGACAAACUCAUCAUUAAUGUGACCUCAAAUCAGGUAGGACUACCCGCUGAACUUAA
RNAcentral lists this unclassified non-coding RNA (280 nucleotides) under Ochrocladosporium sp. RNAcentral describes it as "partial contains 5.8S ribosomal RNA, internal transcribed spacer 2, and large subunit ribosomal RNA". The stretch from base 1 to 52 matches the Rfam family "5.8S ribosomal RNA", at positions 103 to 154 of the family's 154-position model. The record is from RNAcentral. Lineage: Eukaryota; Fungi; Ascomycota; Dothideomycetes; Pleosporales.